GCUGCAGGUCAUCGGGGAGUGUGGUUGCCCAGCCAGAACUCUGACGCAUACCCCCUUCGGCCCCUGCCAGCAGAGCUGGACCGCAGCUGGGACUCAGACCGCCGUAGCCACGCCUACCCACGCAGGAAAGUGCGAGACAUGCAAAUUAGAAAUGGCGCUUCA
This is a long non-coding RNA of Chlorocebus sabaeus (green monkey), 162 nucleotides long. RefSeq lists it as uncharacterized. The record is from RefSeq and is a predicted model, not a curated record. Lineage: Eukaryota; Metazoa; Chordata; Mammalia; Primates; Cercopithecidae.